GAUGAACGCUGGCGGCGUGCCUAAUACAUGCAAGUCGAGCGAACGGACGAGAAGCUUGCUUCUCUGAUGUUAGCGGCGGACGGGUGAGUAACACGUGGAUAACCUACCUAUAAGACUGGGAUAACUUCGGGAAACCGGAGCUAAUACCGGAUAAUAUUUUGAACCACAUGGUUCAAAAGUGAAAGACGGUCUUGCUGUCACUUAUAGAUGGAUCCGCGCUGCAUUAGCUAGUUGGUAAGGUAACGGCUUACCAAGGCAACGAUGCAUAGCCGACCUGAGAGGGUGAUCGGCCACACUGGAACUGAGACACGGUCCAGACUCCUACGGGAGGCAGCAGUAGGGAAUCUUCCGCAAUGGGCGAAAGCCUGACGGAGCAACGCCGCGUGAGUGAUGAAGGUCUUCGGAUUGUAAAACUCUGUUAUUAGGGAAGAACAUAUGUGUAAGUAACUGUGCACAUCUUGACGGUACCUAAUCAGAAAGCCACGGCUAACUACGUG
Molecule: ribosomal RNA, 497 nt
Filed under: uncultured bacterium
Lineage: Bacteria
Description: partial 16S ribosomal RNA
Rfam family: Bacterial small subunit ribosomal RNA
Source: RNAcentral